This is a non-coding RNA of Ascaris suum (pig roundworm), 73 nucleotides long. Lineage: Eukaryota; Metazoa; Nematoda; Chromadorea; Rhabditida; Ascarididae. The record is from Rfam.
GACCAAGUAGUAUAGUGGUUAAGUACUCCACGUUGUGGCCGCGGCGACACAGCUUCGAUUCCUGUCUUGGGCA